UGCACAAUCACCUAACUCUGAAAAUUUAAUAAGUACAGAAGAAUAUUUAUUGUGUUUAGUUUUAAUAAAUUAAAAAGUAAAUGAAAAAGGAUAUUUGCUUUCAGAUUUGAUCUUUAUUUUUAUUAUUGAGUUGCUGGUGAAUUUAUAAAAUUCGUCAAUCUUUUAAUUGUACCCUUCAGUAUUAAUUGUUCACUUCCUGUGUGAAGGUAUUUGCUCCUCACAUCAAUUAUUCGAAUUAAAUUGAUAUAAUUAUAUUUCUUUCUAUCUUUAUUUCAUGCAUGUGAUUACAUUUUUUUGAAAUGCUGGAAAUGCAGAAAACUUAUACAAAUGAUACAAUACAAAAUAACAUCACUUCUUUUUACAAAUUGUCACUGUCCAAACCCAAAAAAAUCUCUUGUAUUUGUGAUAUUAUUGUGUCCAAGCAGGGUGUGACAACUUACAAUGGAAUCAGUUCCACAUUGUUCAUCAACCUGUACUUGUGGUGGUUUAUUAAA
RNAcentral lists this long non-coding RNA (494 nucleotides) under Physcomitrium patens. RNAcentral's name for it is "long non-coding RNA (PPAT_LNC010368)". The record is from RNAcentral. Lineage: Eukaryota; Viridiplantae; Streptophyta; Bryopsida; Funariales; Funariaceae.